GAUAUUUUAAAUAACCUGCCCUAGAGCAGGGCUUGUUAAGAUGGCAGAGCCUGGUAAUUGCGUAAGACUUAAAACUUUAUUUCAGAGGUUCAACUCCUCUUCUUAACAUUAAUGUUUAUAAUUAAUCUCCUACUUUUAAUUAUUCCAAUCUUGGUAGCUAUAGCCUUCCUUACCUUAAUCAAAUGAAAAAUACUAGGAUAUAUACAACUUCGCAAAGGCCCAAAUGUUGUCGGGCCUUAUGGCCUACUUCAACCAUUUGCUGAUGCAAUAAAAUUAUUUAUUAAAGAACCCAUAAAACCUUUAACAUCAUCAAUUAUAUUAUUUAUUAUUGCUCCAACCCUUGCCCUAACACUAGCAUUCACCAUAUGAAUUCCCCUACCUAUACCCCAACCCCUUAUUAACAUAAAUAUAGGAGUCCUAUUUAUCUUAGCCACCUCAAGUCUAGCUGUCUAUGCAAUCUUAUGAUCUGGCUGAGCCUCCAACUCCAAAUAUGCUUUAAUUGGAGCCCUACGAGCCGUAGCACAAACUAUCUCAUAUGAAGUAACGCUAGCAAUUAUUCUUCUCUCAGUACUUCUAAUAAAUGGAUCCU
RNAcentral lists this long non-coding RNA (589 nucleotides) under Marmota monax (woodchuck). The stretch from base 35 to 108 matches the Rfam family "tRNA". Lineage: Eukaryota; Metazoa; Chordata; Mammalia; Rodentia; Sciuridae. The record is from RNAcentral.